UGCGUAGGCGGAUAUUUAAGUUAGGUGUGAAAUCCCUGAGCUUAACUUGGGAAUGGCACUUAAGACUGGAUAUCUAGAGUCUAUGAGAGGGGGGUGGAAUUCCUGGUGUAGCAGUGAAAUGCGUAGAGAUCAGGAGGAAUACCAAUGGCGAAGGCAACCCCCUGGCAUAAGACUGACGCUGAGGCACGAAAGCGUGGGUAGCAAACAGGAUUAGAUACCCUGGUAGUCCACGCCGUAAACGAUGUUUACUUGCUGUUGGGGGAGUCAAUCCUUUAGUAGCGUAGCUAACGCGAGAAGUAAACCGCCUGGGGAGUAUGGUCGCAAGAUUAAA
This 331-nucleotide ribosomal RNA is filed under the name uncultured bacterium. RNAcentral describes it as "bacterial SSU rRNA". It matches the Rfam family "Bacterial small subunit ribosomal RNA", at positions 568 to 898 of the family's 1533-position model. The record is from RNAcentral.